AAUAAAUGUAAUUUUGCACUGUUUUUAUCUAACAUUUGACAUUCUUUAUUUGAAUUUUUUUAUGAUUAUUGUUUUUAUUGUUAUUAGAUGAUAAAACAUAAAUAGUACUUUAUGUGUGAUUAUUUUUUCGUGGGUCAAACGUUGGACACGAAUAAUCACAGUUGUACUUAUU
This is a microRNA precursor of Oryza sativa Japonica Group (Japanese rice), 172 nucleotides long. It matches the Rfam family "MIR812 microRNA precursor family". NCBI's taxonomy places the organism in Eukaryota, Viridiplantae, Streptophyta, Magnoliopsida, Poales, Poaceae. The record is from Rfam.